This 360-nucleotide ribosomal RNA is filed under the name uncultured bacterium. Its description in RNAcentral is "bacterial SSU rRNA". It matches the Rfam family "Bacterial small subunit ribosomal RNA", at positions 917 to 1271 of the family's 1533-position model. The record is from RNAcentral.
GGGCUCACACAAGCGGUGGAGGAUGUGGCUUAAUUCGAGGCUACGCGAAGAACCUUAUCCUAGAUUUGACAUGCUUGAGAAUCCCUAUGAAAAUAGAGAGUGCCCUUCGGGAGCUCUUGCACAGGUGCUGCAUGGCUGUCGUCAGCUCGUGUCGUGAGAUGUCGGGUUAAGUCCCUUAACGAGCGAAACCCUUAUCUCUAGUUGCCAGCGGGUAAUGCCGGGGACUCUAGAGAGACUGCCGGUGUCAAACCGGAGGAAGGUGGGGAUGACGUCAAGUCCUCAUGGCCCUUACGUGUAGGGCUACACACGUGCUACAAUGGCCGGUACAAAGCGGUUGCGAACCCCGCGAGGGGAAGCUAA